This 440-nucleotide ribosomal RNA is filed under the name uncultured bacterium. Its description in RNAcentral is "bacterial SSU rRNA". It matches the Rfam family "Bacterial small subunit ribosomal RNA", at positions 338 to 795 of the family's 1533-position model. The record is from RNAcentral.
CCUACGGGAGGCUGCAGUGGGGAAUCUUGCGCAAUGGGCGAAAGCCUGACGCAGCCAUGCCGCGUGAAUGAUGAAGGUCUUAGGAUUGUAAAAUUCUUUCACCGGGGACGAUAAUGACGGUACCCGGAGAAGAAGCCCCGGCUAACUUCGUGCCAGCAGCCGCGGUAAUACGAAGGGGGCUAGCGUUGCUCGGAAUUACUGGGCGUAAAGGGAGCGUAGGCGGACUGUUUAGUCAGAGGUGAAAGCCCAGGGCUCAACCUUGGAAUUGCCUUUGAUACUGGCAGUCUUGAGUACGGAAGAGGUAUGUGGAACUCCGAGUGUAGAGGUGAAAUUCGUAGAUAUUCGGAAGAACACCAGUGGCGAAGGCGACAUACUGGUCCGUUACUGACGCUGAGGCUCGAAAGCGUGGGGAGCAAACAGGAUUAGAUACCCUUGUAGUC